This 403-nucleotide ribosomal RNA is filed under the name uncultured prokaryote. RNAcentral describes it as "bacterial SSU rRNA". It matches the Rfam family "Bacterial small subunit ribosomal RNA", at positions 355 to 774 of the family's 1533-position model. The record is from RNAcentral.
UCGAGAAUAAUUCGCAAUGGACGAAAGUCUGACGAUGCGACACCGCGUGUGCGAUGAAGGCCUUCGGGUUGUAAAGCACUUUUUGGAAGGAAUAGGAAGGAAGGUACUUCCAGAAUAAGUCUCGGCUAACUACGUGCCAGCAGCCGCGGUAACACGUAGGAGGCAAACGUUAUCCGGAUUCACUGGGCGUAAAGCGCGUGUAGGUGGUUUUGUAAGUAGGGCGUGAAAGCUCCUGGCUCAACUGGGAGAGGCCGUUCUAAACUGCAGAACUAGAGGAUGGUAGAGGGAGGUGGAAUUCCAGGUGUAGCGGUGGAAUGCGCAGAUAUCUGGAGGAACACCAGUGGCGAAAGCGGCCUCCUGGACCAUUCCUGACACUCAGACGCGAAAGCUAGGGUAGCAAACA